GCCUACUAGUAGACUCAGAAGGCCGUGAUCAUCCAUCCAAAUGGUUGAUCACCCACAAAUAUACAAGAGAAGACUCCAGAUCCAAUCCCAGAAUUCCUGCUCACCGGUAAUCGGAAGUCUACUGGACGAAUGCGGGAACGUUGCGAUAUUUCCUGCUUAAUAUUUUCAGGCACAAUGAAUGAUAUUAAGGGCAGGUGCGCCACAUUGGGGGAAGAUGCAAAGCAGAAAUACAUUCAAGAGGCAGCAGCACUGAGGGCACAUGGGCAGUCACAGGACACUAAACCCUGAGAUGGAGGCAAUUUGUGCUGUGUCUGCCGCAUCCAUUUUUAUGAUAAGAAGAAGAAUGCAAGAAAGAAGUGGCAUUCAUGGUCUCAGUGCACAGUGUGCCAAUCAUGGUAACACACAGCAUGUGGCUUUAAAAAGAACAUGUGCGUUCACUGCCAGGGUCAAGACACCAUGCUAACACCCUGAAGAGGUAUCUUGUUACUUGUUUGAGUUGUUUUUACUGUGUUGACGGCCCCCAACCCAUCCAUACAAACACACAUACACAAUACAUACAUAUGCUGCAAAUUUAUUGUAAUGACCACACUUCAGACGUAAGAAGAAAAUUGUGAUCUUUUUGUUAUCUUCAUUCACCCCAUUUUUAUUUACUAUUGUUGUUUGUUGGCACCAUCAAUGUGUUCUCCUUUAUACAGGACUUAUGUGGGGAACAAUAAAGUUAUAUUGUACUGAA
This is a long non-coding RNA of Carassius gibelio (silver crucian carp), 733 nucleotides long. RefSeq lists it as uncharacterized. Lineage: Eukaryota; Metazoa; Chordata; Actinopteri; Cypriniformes; Cyprinidae. The record is from RefSeq and is a predicted model, not a curated record. The transcript has 3 exons.